GGGGAUGUGGCUCAGUGGUAGAGCGCUCGCUUUGCAUGUGAGAGGCCCCGGGUUGAAACCCCGGCAUCUCCA
Molecule: transfer RNA, 72 nt
Filed under: Pollicipes pollicipes
Lineage: Eukaryota; Metazoa; Arthropoda; Thecostraca; Pollicipedomorpha; Pollicipedidae
Description: tRNA-Ala
Rfam family: tRNA
About the family: Transfer RNA (tRNA) molecules are approximately 80 nucleotides in length. Their secondary structure includes four short double-helical elements and three loops (D, anti-codon, and T loops). Further hydrogen bonds mediate the characteristic L-shaped molecular structure. tRNAs have two regions of fundamental functional importance: the anti-codon, which is responsible for specific mRNA codon recognition, and the 3' end, to which the tRNAs corresponding amino acid is attached (by aminoacyl-tRNA synthetases). tRNAs cope with the degeneracy of the genetic code in two manners: having more than one tRNA (with a specific anti-codon) for a particular amino acid; and 'wobble' base-pairing, i.e. permitting non-standard base-pairing at the 3rd anti-codon position.
Source: RNAcentral